Molecule: long non-coding RNA, 352 nt
Organism: Phyllostomus hastatus (greater spear-nosed bat)
Lineage: Eukaryota; Metazoa; Chordata; Mammalia; Chiroptera; Phyllostomidae
Exons: 3
Source: RefSeq, a predicted model, not a curated record
UGCAGGAACGUUAUGCUCUCUCCUCUACCAGGCUGCCUGCAUGACCUUGAAGUGGCGUCACUGCCCUUGCUUUGCUAAAGUCUCAAGCCUCCACCAAUUCCACCUCACUGAAAGGCCUUUGGAGCUUUCUAGCUCGCAUUCAUCAACACAGAGAUGAGGAAGUGGUGUCCGGACAAGGAAACCUUGAGGACUUUGAUCAGGAGAACGACAAACUCAGUUUGUGGGAAGUGGAGAGUGGAGAGGCCAGAGAACCAGGGAGAUGAAUCAGGAGGCUGGAGCCGUCGUCUGGGAGUGAGUGCUGGCGAGGACGUGGAGAGAAGGGAACCCUAGUGCACUGUUGGUGGGACUGCAG